RNAcentral lists this ribosomal RNA (522 nucleotides) under Janthinobacterium sp. 10628. RNAcentral's name for it is "bacterial SSU rRNA". It matches the Rfam family "Bacterial small subunit ribosomal RNA", at positions 1 to 522 of the family's 1533-position model. Lineage: Bacteria; Pseudomonadati; Pseudomonadota; Betaproteobacteria; Burkholderiales; Oxalobacteraceae. The record is from RNAcentral.
UGGAGAGUUUGAUCCUGGCUCAGAUUGAACGCUGGCGGCAUGCCUUACACAUGCAAGUCGAACGGCAGCACGGAGCUUGCUCUGGUGGCGAGUGGCGAACGGGUGAGUAAUAUAUCGGAACGUACCCUGGAGUGGGGGAUAACGUAGCGAAAGUUACGCUAAUACCGCAUACGAUCUAAGGAUGAAAGUGGGGGAUCGCAAGACCUCAUGCUCGUGGAGCGGCCGAUAUCUGAUUAGCUAGUUGGUAGGGUAAAAGCCUACCAAGGCAUCGAUCAGUAGCUGGUCUGAGAGGACGACCAGCCACACUGGAACUGAGACACGGUCCAGACUCCUACGGGAGGCAGCAGUGGGGAAUUUUGGACAAUGGGCGAAAGCCUGAUCCAGCAAUGCCGCGUGAGUGAAGAAGGCCUUCGGGUUGUAAAGCUCUUUUGUCAGGGAAGAAACGGUGAGAGCUAAUAUCUYUUGCUAAUGACGGUACCUGAAGAAUAAGCACCGGCUAACUACGUGCCAGCAGCCGCGGUA